AGCGGAAUGAGGUGCUUGCACCUUAUCUUAGCGGCGGACGGGUGAGUAAUGCUUAGGAAUCUGCCUAUUAGUGGGGGACAACAUUCCGAAAGGAAUGCUAAUACCGCAUACGCCCUACGGGGGAAAGCAGGGGAUCUUCGGACCUUGCGCUAAUAGAUGAGCCUAAGUCGGAUUAGCUAGUUGGUGGGGUAAAGGCCUACCAAGGCGACGAUCUGUAGCGGGUCUGAGAGGAUGAUCCGCCACACUGGGACUGAGACACGGCCCAGACUCCUACGGGAGGCAGCAGUGGGGAAUAUUGGACAAUGGGCGGAAGCCUGAUCCAGCCAUGCCGCGUGUGUGAAGAAGGCCUUUUGGUUGUAAAGCACUUUAAGCGAGGAGGAGGCUACUUAGAUUAAUACUCUAGGAUAGUGGACGUUACUCGCAGAAUAAGCACCGGCUAACUCUGUGCCAGCAGCCGCGGUAAUACAGAGGGUGCGAGCGUUAAUCGGAUUUACUGGGCGUAAAGCGUGCGUAGGCGGCUGAUUAAGUCGGAUGUGAAAUCCCUGAGCUUAACUUAGGAAUUGCAUUCGAUACUGGUCAGCUAGAGUAUGGGAGAGGAUGGUAGAAUUCCAGGUGUAGCGGUGAAAUGCGUAGAGAUCUGGAGGAAUACCGAUGGCGAAGGCAGCCAUCUGGCCUAAUACUGACGCUGAGUACGAAAGCAUGGGGAGCAAACAGGAUUAGAUACCCUGGU
RNAcentral lists this ribosomal RNA (730 nucleotides) under Acinetobacter sp. RNAcentral describes it as "bacterial SSU rRNA". It matches the Rfam family "Bacterial small subunit ribosomal RNA", at positions 65 to 791 of the family's 1533-position model. The record is from RNAcentral. Lineage: Bacteria; Pseudomonadati; Pseudomonadota; Gammaproteobacteria; Moraxellales; Moraxellaceae.